RNAcentral lists this long non-coding RNA (786 nucleotides) under Homo sapiens (human). RNAcentral describes it as "HSALNT0287721". The record is from RNAcentral. Lineage: Eukaryota; Metazoa; Chordata; Mammalia; Primates; Hominidae.
ACACGCUGGUAAUUGCAUAGCAGGAGCUGCCUUUUCAGCAGAUCUGACUGAAGCAACAUUGCCCAGACCUAUGCCAUCUCUAGGGUUGGCACAUAAGACAUAAACGGUCAGGGUUUGGGUUCCGCUGGGAACCUGAGGAACUGAGUGACCUGGUGAAGUCACUCCCCUCGGUGGGUGAGUCCCAGUACGGCCGGCCGGUGCCUUCCUGGCCUCUCCUGGGACUUUCUGAGUCCCGUGUUCGCCUCUAUUUAAGGCAAGUUGCAGACCUUGGUGACUCCUCGAAGGACACUCCCUUCCUAAGAGCUGCCAGCAAAUUCUUCUGAGGGCUGCUCCCUGUGGUCCAGACAGGCUGGAAAGCCACUGUCUGAGCUCUAGGAAGCCACUGGGCCCCGCCACUGUUCACCUGAGGAUGGGCUACUCUCACUGACAGCAGAUGGUUCUCAACGGAAGAGUCUCCUAGACGGGGCUGCUCUCUGGAUUUCUGCCCCUCCCAGGUCACCCCAGGCCUCCUCUCCAGGGGUGCUCAGGGGAGUGAGAAAAGCCGGGCAUGCCGUGCUCUAUGCCAGGAUGUGCUCUGUGCCAUGGGCUGUGGUAAAAAAGAAAUGCCAGAAGCCACUUCAACAGCAAAGUACUCAAAGACUGAUGAAAUUAUGAUUUAUUUUAGUUAGAUUUUAUUUUUGUUUAUGUGUAUUAUUACUUUCUGUUAUUAGUAUUAAUCUAUAAUUAGUUAAAUUAGAGCGCAUUCAUAUUGCGGAAUGCAGCAGCUACAAAGAAUGAAGUAAGCCA